Pogoniulus pusillus (Red-fronted tinkerbird) is the source of this 4658-nucleotide RNA transcript. It is a transcript of the gene named RALY RNA binding protein like, with no coding region annotated. The record is from RefSeq and is a predicted model, not a curated record. Lineage: Eukaryota; Metazoa; Chordata; Aves; Piciformes; Lybiidae. The transcript is spliced from 13 exons.
AUAACAAAGCAGAACAGAAAGCCAAAGAGAUGAUCCUUACUUUUGCACGUUUUGCACCUUGACUUUUUUAUACUUUUGCCGGCAGUAUUUUGUGGUGGUUAUUAUUAUCGUGAUGGUGAUGAUAGAUAUAUACAUAUAUACAAAUAAAUACGUUUUCAAACGAUGGCAGUGGAAGGUUUUUCUGGAGAAUGAAGUGCGGUUUGGUUUCCUUGUCAACGGAAGAUGAAGUGAACAACUGAACAUCUCCCCAGUGCAGAAUGAGGCAAACUUCUGCAUGUACUUCAGCUUUGAAUCACAACACUAAUUAGGGAACAUCUCUAAAGGUAUUCAAGAGAGUUGACUCCUUUGCUUUACUGCAGCUGAGUCAGGUUCAGGAUUAAGGACAAGUGACCCAACCAUGACCGGCAAAACACAGACCAGCAACGUCACCAAUAAGAAUGACCCAAAGUCCAUCAACUCCAGAGUCUUCAUUGGCAACCUGAACACAGCAAUUGUCAAAAAGAGUGACAUUGAAGCAAUCUUUGCAAAGUAUGGGAAAAUAGUUGGCUGCUCAGUGCACAAAGGUUAUGCAUUUGUACAGUACAUGAGCGAAAGGCACGCAAGGGCUGCAGUGGCAGGAGAGAAUGCCAGGAUCAUCGCGGGACAGCCACUAGAUAUCAACAUGGCAGGAGAACCGAAACCAUACAGACCAAAACCUGGCAACAAGCGGCCACUUUCAGCACUUUACAGACUUGAAUCAAAGGAGCCUUUUCUGUCCGUUGGUGGUUAUGUCUUUGAUUAUGAUUACUACAGAGAUGAUUUCUACAAUCGGUUGUUUGAUUACCACGGCCGUGUCCCCCCACCACCCCGUGCAGUGAUUCCACUAAAGCGUCCUCGUGUGACUGUGACAACAACUCGCAGAGGCAAAGGGGUUUUCUCCAUGAAAGGAGCAUCACGAUCCACCUCAAGUGGGGCAUCUUCCUCAGGAUCCAAAUCACCCACCUGCCUUCCCCUGCCCCUUAUGUGGAGUGAUACAGUCCUUGGAAGCGUCACUGGAAGAGGAAGAGAAAGAUCAGUGAAAUCAGAUGAGUUGCAAACCAUCAAGAAGGAAUUAACCCAAAUCAAAACAAAAAUUGACUCAUUGCUAGGGAGACUGGAAAAGAUUGAAAAGCAGCAAAAAGCUGAAGCAGAAGCUCAAAAGAAACAAAUGGAAGAUAAUGCUGAUUUGAUUCAAGAGGAAUGCAUAUCAGAGAAUGCAGAUAACUCUACAGAAGAGCCAAUUGAAGGAGGGCCAGAUGCAGAUGGGGAUGGAGAAGAUAUGACUGAUGGGAUAGAGGAGGAUUUUGAUGAGGAUGGCAGCAAUGAGCUGAUGGAGGCACUAUUCUAAGUCACGUGGUACUUAAUAGGAGAUGUCAUGUUUUAAAUCAAGGGGGACAAAUCACAAAAAUGUAUCUCAAGCACAACUGUGGAGUCAAUGUGGUAGGUGAUAGAAAUUCAAAGUUCUUAGAAAGUGAUGUACACCAGUCACAAAAUCUACUUGCCAAAGCAUAGUCAGACACCAACAGCAGCCUGGGAAGGUGUCAGGCAUCAAGCCUCCUACUCAACAGGAGCCUGUCAGAGGUAGAAAUGUGAUUUUACCUGAAACCAAGCAGUGUUUCUACAGAUCAAGUGAUGAGAUGUCAUGUGUGAACCCCCUGAAGGCUAAGAAGAGAAACUCUGACUCUCCCACAAACGGUGAACUGCAGUUUCUUACUGUCUAGCAACACCUUUGAUUCAAUUUGUAUGAAAACUCAAUUUACUUAUUAAAAUGGACGUUAUUGUUCAAAUAUUAGAAAUUCCAUUUCUUAUAUGUUCUAAGCUGUACAAUUGUCAGAUUUUUAUGGUUUAGAUUGUAAAAGUGUUUUUCUCUGGCUAAUUAUUGGUAUUAUUUUUUUAAUUUUGAUGUCUUAAAGGAUAAUGUACUGUAUCAUAAUAUUAUGAAGGACAUAUUUAACAGAUGUGGGAAACACUGUAUACAAAUGUAUAUUUCUAAAAGCUAUUUUUAUGAUUAGCAUGUUUUACCAUAUUUAGAGUCAGGUGAUAUUGCACUUAUUUGUUUACAGCUUAAUUCAAACAAGAUCACAAUUAAAUACAUUGUGUGGUAUUUUCCAUUAUUUUAUUUAUUAAUCAUUGGGAACAAUUAUGUUUACUAACAGGGGCAACUGCUAAAAAGUAAAAUUGUGAAGGCAAUCCUUCAUGAAGUGUAAGUUGGAUCCUUCUGUAAAACCCUUUCUUCAGCUAAACAAUGCCUCUGAUGUCAUUCACUAGACAGUAGUCACAGCUCUUCUUGCAGGUCUCUGAAGGCACAUCGUGGUUACCGUAUGGAAAGUUUACAUGACAGUCAGUUUCCUGUCUAGCCAGGUAAAUUACUUAUAGUCUGCCAAUAUCUGACAACCUGAGCUACUCUACUGAUUAUUUUUUGGGUUUACUUUCUGGCAGUAGUCUUUCUACCCCUGAACACGCUAAAGCUCUGCUUAAAGCCUCUAGCUGGACUAAUUAACUAUUACAGAUGUCAUAGGGGGAAUCUUAGUCUAGAAUUUCUUAAUAAAUCAUAUUUUCUUUCACAUAGAAUGAAUACAUUAUUUCUCUUGUGUUAAAGGUAUCAAACAAUAUAUAAUAUGGGCUCAAAGUCUCUAGUUCACCAUCCCAAAGGGAGACCUCCUUAGCACUGCAGAUUACACAAAACAAGAACAAAUAAGGAUCUGCAUCCUUAUAUGUUAUAUACUCCUGCAGAAAGACACAUAUCUUUAAAGUGAUUACAGAGGAAAAAAGACUUAAUGGUUGGAGCCUUUCAAGAGUGAGAGACAGUAAUUUAGGAAAUACUCUUAGCCAGUCAAAUGGAUCUCAAACCCAGCUAUGGGCCAGUCUACAGCACAGGCCCUAAUAUCUACUGGUAACAGUGGCCAGUGGUAUUGGGUAUCAUCUAGCAUUACAAAGGUGAACCAUUGCCUUGCCCUUUCAAUCAUACUUAGAAGGUUGAAAGCGAGAGAAAAAUAAUUGUACCAGGGAGACUCUUGAAUAGGUCAAAAAUUUGGUUUCUGUAAAACCCAGCAUUUUCUGAGAUGACAGGGAUAUAAGGAGGUGGGAGGUUGAGGUCUUCAGUCAGGUUUACAGCAAGGGGAAUGUCAUCAAAGGAUUGAUAUUCUCCAAAUAAUUGGAAGAAGAGCAUACAUUUGAAUAUAAUUAUCUGAGUGGGACUGUACUUCACUAGGAGACUAUGUAACAUAGCAUUCUCAGUUAUGUUUGUGUGUAUUUGGGUCGUUUAUUGUCUGUGGAGUUACAUAAUUUAUCUAAGUGCUAAUUAAUUAAGGAAAGAAUAAUAUAAAUAAUUACACCUGAGCAUAAGGAAUUACCACUUCAGAGUCCACUAAAGCUGACUCUUUUCUGAAAGUGCAGCAAAAGAAAUAUUAAUUCUAUGUGAGUGAAAUUUUAGAUCAAUCAAAGGGUGAUUUUUUAAAUACCUACCCCACCCCCUUUCUAUCCAUUAGUAUAGGUUAUGAUCACUUUUAACUGUAAAACACAUGAAAACAGUUGCCAUUUUGGGAUUUCCAUCUUUGGCUGACAAAAAAAAAAACCACAAACAACAAAGCCAGAGCUUAUUACCAAUGCCAGUUACAGAAACUGUUGGCUCACUUGAAGAUGCAGAAUGCUGUCCAAAGAGAUGAGUUCUGAUGUUGAUGUUAAUAAACUAUGUGUGAGAAACAGCUAGGUGUAUCAUCUCUUCACCACCUCCAUUCAAAAUGAACUAAUAAUCACAGAAAGCACUCCAUUAGACUUUUACAAAUUCUUUCCAGUUAUUACCCCUAGAUUAUAUAUUCACAGGAAUGAUUGCACUGUUGUAAUGCUGAUGGUCUUUGACACCACAGUUUAAGUCCUGAAUAUAUUUUGAGCACAGAAAACCACCUCUGAUAACACUGUGAGGCAGUACUUCAUUUGCAAGCCAGAAGCUGGUGCAGUCAAUUACUAGCAAGGUUUCUUAACGGCACAUUUGCUUCAAAUCACUACAGAGGAUGUUGGUAGCUUCAGCAGAGCUUGGCAGUUCUCUGCUUUCCAUGGUAUACAGUAUGCUUGGUGUCGUUUGCCAUCACUGCCUAUUGUUUUACAUGGGUUUUGUCAGUUAUGUUUUGUUUCCAGUUUUUGUUUUGUUCAGCCCUUGCAAUAUGGAACAAUAAGAAAGGAUUUGGUCAUACAAUUUGGAUGGUCAACAGUCUUAUAAAAUUCUCUAUGGACACUAUCAAUCAAUUUUCUACACAGACCAAUACACUCUGUGCAUUUCAGAGAUUUGUUUCAAACCUGUGCAGCUGCAUGAAUGGAAAAUAUUUACUAAAAAGCUUUAACGUUUGGAACAAAAAAAAAUAAUUUUUACUUUUGUAAACUCUUGUAUUUCAUAUUAUUGCAGUUCUUAGUUUUCUCUGUAGAUCCAUUCUGAGUUCUGGGAAAUCAUUGCACUUAAACUAUGUAGAUAGCUACAAUAUUGUAAGCAGUCAUAUUUUUAAUAGGUGCCAUGGCAAGUUAGAAUAAAAACAUUCAGGGUUUGCCCAUGUAGAGCAGAUUGAUGGUUCAUUACAGUUUUCUUUAAAAUAUUGUAACAUAAUUUUUACAUGUCUGUAAAUAAAUAUUUUCUCUGAUUUAUGCACUAA